AUGCCUGAUGGCACCAAUAUCCUUGAUGACAAGUUCUACCUAGGAGAUGAUGGCUAUGCAUGUCAUCCUGGUGUUCUUCCACUCUUCGGGAAAAUUAGGUAUCAUCUAAAUGAGUUAUCUUCUAGGAACUAUCCUAGGACUGUGUAGGAAUUGUUCGGUCUCAGACACUCAAACCUUAGAGUUACAUCUAAGAGGGCAUUUGGAGCUCUUAAGAAUCGAUUUAAGAUCCUGGAUCAGAACUCAUUCCACCCUUUACCCAUUCAAGUUAGGCUUGUUCUUGCAUGUUGCAUUCUGCAUAACUGGAUCCUACAAUGGGGUUAUGAUGAGUUGGUGCCAGAGGAAUAAGAUGUGAUGGCCGAUUAUGAUGACUCCGGUCUUGGUGUGGAGGCACAUGACAAUGAAGCUUGGAAGAGCAAAAGGUUGCAAUUGGCCAAGGCAAUGUGGGCAAACAUAGGAGCCACAAGCAUAAGCGGAGCCAGGAUUUCUCAAAGCCCGAGGCUAAAACUAAGUGACUAA
This 516-nucleotide ribosomal RNA is filed under the name Triticum aestivum (bread wheat). RNAcentral describes it as "partial small subunit ribosomal RNA". Lineage: Eukaryota; Viridiplantae; Streptophyta; Magnoliopsida; Poales; Poaceae. The record is from RNAcentral.